GUCCCUUCAAAGACAUCUUAUAAAAUUAGAACAAUAUACAGAGAAGAUUAGCAUGACCCCUGCGCAAAAAUUCAUUUUCUUUUGGGUGAAAAUACAAGUCGUA
Small nuclear RNA from Medicago truncatula (barrel medic), 103 nucleotides. The record is from Rfam. NCBI's taxonomy places the organism in Eukaryota, Viridiplantae, Streptophyta, Magnoliopsida, Fabales, Fabaceae.